AGGGUGAUAGCUCAGUGGUAGAGCGUGUGCUUGGCAUAAACGAGGUCCUGGGUUCAAUCCCCAAUACCUCCG
Molecule: transfer RNA, 72 nt
Filed under: Camelus bactrianus (Bactrian camel)
Lineage: Eukaryota; Metazoa; Chordata; Mammalia; Artiodactyla; Camelidae
Also listed under: 3 other names
Rfam family: tRNA
About the family: Transfer RNA (tRNA) molecules are approximately 80 nucleotides in length.
Source: Rfam by way of RNAcentral